This 483-nucleotide long non-coding RNA is filed under the name Bos taurus (domestic cattle). RNAcentral describes it as "long non-coding RNA NONBTAT026050". The record is from RNAcentral. Lineage: Eukaryota; Metazoa; Chordata; Mammalia; Artiodactyla; Bovidae.
AACUGAUCAAAGGCUUCCUUCUGAUACAGAAUGGUUCACAGACAAAACCUGAGCCAUUGAAGAAGAAACUUGAUAAUGCAAAGUACAUUAUAAAGAUUCAGUGAGAGUUUGGCACCAGCACUUCCUUCUGACAUUUGUACAAGAGAAGGGCUUACUUGGUCUGCUGGAGACAGAACAUUGUCGGUGGAGGAGGCAGGCACAGGAGGUAGAGCUCGUCACAGCCACCUUGGAUGGCAAGCUUCAGCUGUUUCAGGCCGAGUGAUGCUGACCCACGGGCUGGGCACCGCCUGGGCCAGAACAUGGCCUGAGUCUGGGUCCUCAUCCUGAGAGAUGCCAGCGGUGUCUACACCACCCGCCCGUCUGAGCCACCCUCACAGUCGCGGCCUGCCCACUCCUUGCUGGGGAUUCCCUGCCCUGGAAAAAUGGAAAUGGCGUCCAGCACUUCUGCACAGAAUUUGGUCAAGUUAAAAUAGAAUGUUCUUC